Molecule: ribosomal RNA, 253 nt
Filed under: uncultured bacterium
Lineage: Bacteria
Description: partial 16S ribosomal RNA
Rfam family: Bacterial small subunit ribosomal RNA
Source: RNAcentral
UACAGAGGUCUCAAGCGUUGUUCGGAUUCAUUGGGCGUAAAGGGUGCGUAGGCGGCGCGGUAAGUCGGGUGUGAAAUCUUGGAGCUCAACUCCAGAACUGCCUUUGAUACUGGCAAUCUCGAGUCCGGGAGAGGUGAGUGGAACUGCGAGUGUAGAGGUGAAAUUCGUAGAUAUUCGCAAGAACACCAGUGGCGAAGGCGGCUCACUGGCCCGGUACUGACGCUGAGGUGCGAAAGCGUGGGGAGCAAACAGG